UGCUGAACAAAGGUUUGACGGCAGUUAG
Molecule: small RNA, 28 nt
Filed under: Arabidopsis thaliana (thale cress)
Lineage: Eukaryota; Viridiplantae; Streptophyta; Magnoliopsida; Brassicales; Brassicaceae
Description: ATSL137150
Source: RNAcentral